Molecule: ribosomal RNA, 332 nt
Filed under: uncultured bacterium
Lineage: Bacteria
Description: bacterial SSU rRNA
Rfam family: Bacterial small subunit ribosomal RNA
Source: RNAcentral
CGCGUAGGCGGCCUGGCAAGUUGGUGGUGAAAGUCCUGGGCUCAACUCAGGGAUGGCCAUCAAGACUGUGAGGCUGGAGUGUGGGAGAGGAGGGUGGAAUUCCUGGUGUAGCGGUGAAAUGCGUAGAGAUCAGGAGGAACACCGGUGGCGAAGGCGGCUCUCUGGACCACUACUGACGCUGAGGCGCGAAAGCUAGGGGAGCAAACAGGAUUAGAUACCCUGGUAGUCCUAGCCCUAAACGAUGGAUACUUGCUGUGGGGGGUAUUAAAUCCCCCUGUGGCGGAGCUAACGCGUUAAGUAUCCCGCCUGGGGAGUACGGUCGCAAGACUGAA